AGCAACACACACAAUUCUCUAACAGAGGAAGUAGGAGUGAGAGCUGCUAGUCAUCUGCCAUUCUGGUCACAGAGCCCAUGUCCAGGGACCGGCGGGAGGAACACAGUGCCUCUCCUCUUGGCCUGUCUCCCUCUUGAAUGCUUCUCAAUCUCAGCUCAGAUGCCACUUUCUCUGGGCUUCCUUUCUGCACCUGAACUUUCUCACAGCUCCCACUGCACUGUGUGGCGAUCACCUGAGGAAUCCCAGACUUUAUUCCUCACUCUGUGAAAAACCACGUGAAAACAAACACCAUCACUGAGAGGUUCCAGAUAAGAAGCAGAGCCCAGGUAGAUUGGAAUUUCAAAUAAAUUACAAGUUCUUUUCAAAUAUAA
This is a long non-coding RNA of Suricata suricatta (meerkat), 371 nucleotides long. RefSeq lists it as uncharacterized. The transcript has 2 exons. Lineage: Eukaryota; Metazoa; Chordata; Mammalia; Carnivora; Herpestidae. The record is from RefSeq and is a predicted model, not a curated record.